RNAcentral lists this ribosomal RNA (468 nucleotides) under uncultured bacterium. Its description in RNAcentral is "partial 16S ribosomal RNA". It matches the Rfam family "Bacterial small subunit ribosomal RNA", at positions 28 to 507 of the family's 1533-position model. The record is from RNAcentral.
GACGAACGCUGGCGGCGUGCUUAACACAUGCAAGUCGAACGGAAAGGCCCUGCUUUUGUGGGGUGCUCGAGUGGCGAACGGGUGAGUAACACGUGAGUAACCUGCCCUUGACUUUGGGAUAACUUCAGGAAACUGGGGCUAAUACCGGAUAGGAGCUCCCGCUGCAUGGUGGGGGUUGGAAAGUUUCGGCGGGUGGGGAUGGACUCGCGGCUUAUCAGCUUGUUGGUGGGGUAGUGGCUUACCAAGGCUUGGACGGGUAGCCGGCCUGAGAGGGUGACCGGCCACAUUGGGCCUGAGAUACGGCCCAGACUCCUACGGGAGGCAACAGUGGGGAAUAUUGCACAAUGGGCGGAAGCCUGAUGCAGAAACGCCGCGUGCGGGAUGACGGCCUUCGGGUUGUAAACCGCUUUCGCCUGUGACGAAGCGUGAGUGACGGUAAUGGGUAAAGAAGCACCGGCUAACUACGUG